AUAAUCAAUUGUUAAAUCAGAGGUUCCUCGGAGGUUUUAAUUUCCAUUAAAUAUUUUAAAUCUAGUUUCACUCGCCAUUUGUGAUCGAUACAAAUUCAUCUUAAUCAGAUGAAUAAAGGACAAAUGUUGUUAAUGAUCCCAAGGUGAGGUUAUCCUUUGAUAAUAUUGGCAGUAUAUUACAGUGAUUAUCAUGUCUUUAAUUUCAAUAAUAAUAAGAUUGUCCUUCUUCAACUGCCAUUUUAAAUUGAUGAAUGAUUAUCAUUGGAAAAUACCUUUUUCAUUACAAUUCAUUGACUAUUGAUAUUGAUUGUCUUCUAUUAACCAUGAUCAAUCCCUUGUAUAUCCUAAACUUGCCUCUUUCUCCUCUUUCUUUCCCAACUUCAUUUCAAGUUCAUGUUAAUCAUGGAUUUGAUGACCUUAACAGACAACAGUUAACAGUUAAUUUACCUCAAGGUUUACCGUCUAAAGAAGGAGCAUACAUAAGACGAUGUUGAACAAUAACAGUAACAACAGCAAAAAUUUGCUUCGAUCUGCAACCAGAUUAAUCAAUUUGGAAAGUCAACCCUAAUUGCUAACAACCCUGGUUCAACCAACAUUACGAUUGACUAUCAAAUUAUUUCAAUCGUUCAUUCAACUGUUUCAAACUGAAGAGUAACAAUAAAAAUUACUAACUUUAAGUCAAUCUCUUUAUUCUGAAUCUUAUUUUUAGAAGAUCUUGAUUCAGAUUCACGUGUAGAUUCAGUUGUUUGAACCAUAAUCUGAUGCAACUUGUUAUUUGUGAAUUUACUUUCUACAAAAAUGGUUAAAAUGGGAAACAUGUUUAACAUUAACUGAGUUGUAAACAAUUUGAAAUUGCAAACCAUCUAAGAAAUACACAGAAACGUAGAUACAGCAUAAGAGCUUGAUUAUUGAGUCAAUAAAGCUCAAUGUAAACCCACUUUACUGGUAAAGGUUGUAAUUAUAUUUAAAAUCUAUGUGUUUAUCUAAUAACUGUUACCUUAGUUGAGUUUUUAACAUUGGAAUGGGUUAAAUAACAUUGGGAUUAUUUCAUUACACUGGGUUGCUUGAAAUGAUCAACACUUGCACCGUUGGAUCUAUUAACGAUGUUAAAUUUGUAACCUUUGUUUAAUAACCUUUGCAAGUUAUGCAUUUGUAGUUAACGGUGAAUGUCAAUGAUUAACAAUGUAAUAAUGUUACUAUUUUCAACAAUAAGAAAACUGUAUCUGUUAAAUGUUCAUUUCCUUUCAAUUUUAGUAACAUUAGAAGUGAGGCCAACAUCAUCAGUCAACCAAAAUGAUUACUAUUUUCCGUUAUUUACAUGUAUAGUGGCACAAUCAUUAAAAUAUAAAUCUACGUGAAAAAGACAAUUAAUAAUUUAAAAUAAUGGUUACUACAAAAUUAAACAAUGAUAGAAGGUUAAUCAAUUUAUGGUUCCAUAAUCAACAGUUGAUUUAUUUGACAACAAAUGAGAUUCAUUUGGACUAUAAAUCCCAUUUAAUUUAAGUCCAUAUCUGCAUAUCUGAAUCUAUUGCUCUAAGAAUAGCACACACAGCAAAAAUCAGGUGCAAAUAGGAAAUUUUAAAACAAUGAAAAGCUGUUCACUGACUUAAUUUCAAUCAACAGUUAUUUCACUUUAAUUGUGUUGUAUAAUAAAGAUUUACUCAAAGUUAUUGCCUACAUGAUUAUCAACUGAUUACCAACAUCAAAAUGGAAAUAUUUUCACCAUAAACCUUAGUCGCCUAAAACAAAGUCAGGUAAGAUGACUUAACAAAUUAACAUUUUAGGUAUCAAUUGUGUAAACUUGACCAUCAAAUCCUCGCCAAUAAACUUGAUGAUGAUAUCAUGAUUAUGAUUGUAAUUAACAUUGAAAAUGUAAGAAACAGAGUCUUUUAUUAAAGAUUAAGUUGGCUUUUUGGUUCCAUGUGGAUCCACAUAACCUCGGCUUUAAAAAUGAACAGAUAUAUUACAAUCUACUCUCUACUAUGCAAUUGAAAUAAUACAUCUUUUUUUGGUAUGAUUACAAUUAUUAUUAUGAUCGAGGUUGAGUUGAACAAUCGAUAAAUUGCAAAGGUCAAUCGCACAAUUAAAAUCAAACAACGUUUACCGCUGUUAACUAAACUCAAGGAUGACAUUGAAGUGUAACUCUUUUUCACCAUAUUGGAGGCCAUUUUUAAUAAUAAUUGAGCAUUAGGAUUAACGGAAAAGACUUUAUCUUCCUCAAGGGUUUACACUCAUUACCAAUGACCAAAGUUUUCCAGUCUCAAUCAAAACCACAGACAGGUUACUACUGAUUAUGAUGAACAUCAUCAUCAUUAUCAACGUCUUUUUUCAAGGUAAGUUUAUUCAAUUUUAUUCACUCAUUCAUUUAACUGAUCUUGAAGAGGAAAACUUAAAUUACGGAAAUCAAUUGAAUACAAUUCAAAUAAACUUUCAUGGGCAAUUGAUACAUCAAUGUGUGCAUUUUGUAACCAAACCCAUCCAAAUACAAUAAUCAAGUAAACAAACUCACACAAUUCAACAAGACAACUAAUUCCUAUCAUUUUAUCGCUUAAUAAUUAUCUAACAAAAAUGACAAAUUUGGUUGGUUCUUUAAAGCAAUUUAAGUAUAAAAUUACCAGCAAUUACCAGUAUUUGCAUUUGAAUAAAAUUUCAAAGAUUGAAUCAAAAACGCCAAAAACGAAACUCGUAAACAUAUUUUCAAAAGCGCCUAAAUUUAGUCUCGAUUUACUAAUAACAAUAAGACUUGAAAUUUCCAGCUGCCAAUGGACUUGAUAUUCAACCAGAAAUGAACCAGAAAAUGGGUUACCAAAAAGAGCAAAUGCUCUGAAGAUUUCGAGUGAAACCAGUUUUUUAGGAUUAUCUAAGAGUUUGUCCAUUAAGCUGUAAUCGGUCGAUUAAUAGUUGAAUUGUAAUUAACCAUAAUGAGGGAAUAAUUAAUUUAAAUUGAUGAUGUUGGAGGAACAAUCGUUAACUUGAUUCAUUGUUAAAUCCAACUGUUUCUGGUUACUGGUUUUGCUGCUGUUGUUACACUCCAGGUUGACCUUAAACAGCGUUUAAUAACUAUCCUUACUGACCUUGAUUAUGUUAAUCUUGGUUGUUUGGUUGAAAAUGAAAGCUGAUUUCCGUAAACAUUAGGUUAAUAAUAGUAACACGUUAAAAAUAUAACCCAAAAUAAGGAUUACAAUUGAAGUUAACCCGGAAGGCCGUUGGUCUUUUCUGGUUUCAUACCAUUUCUUACAUUACCAGGUUACCUGAAAAAAAGAGACGAGUUACAAGGUUAGUUAAUGAUAAUAAGGAUUUGAAAGAUAAUUGUUAUAAUGCUUUAAAUCAGCAUCAAUACAUUUUGGGAUUGAUAAACCUUGCCUUGGACAAGUUGAUUGAUUGAUCGGUUCACUGUUGGCUUUUCUGGUUCAUCAUUAGUUAAUGAUCAUCGAGUAAUCAAUGAUGUUAUUGACUAUCAAUGAAAGGUACAAUAUAAGCUACAAUUUAGUUACAAUUUAAUCAGGAAGUCUGAAUGAGUGAAUGACUUAAUGUCUUGUAAACUGUACAAUUUGUGUAUAUGCAAACGAGUCAACCAUUGGCUUUUCAUUUGGUUAACAAUUUGACGGUUUGGGUUGUUACAGGAUUAGAUUAUAAUCAGUUAAUAUUGAAAAGGUUAACCAUUUAUUGUUCAAUGGAGGACUAUAAUUUGAAUAAACAACUAGGAAGGUGGAAAAUAGCAUAACAUUGAUUACUCAAGGUAGCCUCAUCAAUAGAUAUAUUUUUCACCUUCUUCUUGUCAAUCUAAUCACUUGCUCAUAGCUGAUAUUAAUCAUAAUUAUAAUACACAUCAACAAUGGUUAAAAGGUUGAAAAAAUAGCAACAAAUAAUCAAAAUAAAAUAUCUUCAGGAAAUAUCGUCACCUAAAAAAAACGUUAUGUUCAAUGUUCAAUAAUGAAUAUGAACACAGCAAAACAAUGUAUACACAUUAAUAAUCCAAAAAUAAUCAUUUUGCUCUCAAGUUUGUUUUGCUUGAUACAAAGUAACAAUUUGAUCAACCUUGUUCUGAUCAGUCUUGUUUAUAUGAUUUGUAGACACAACAAUCAAGGCACAAUUUAAACAAAACAAAAUUAACCAUAAACAGGGAAGCUAAGGAAUCUAAAGGCAAACGGUUGAUCAACAGGAUUUAUUUUGAUGUGAUAAACCAAUAUAGACAGCAUUUCAUGGUAAACUUAAAAUAUAUAACUAUUCAAAGAUGAAUGAUAAAAUGCUAAAGGAAAAUAAUUAUAAUUAAAGUCUUAAAUUGUAAUAAUUAUCAACCAAAAAAGGAAAGGAAAGGAAAGCGCCAACAUUUGGAAAACGCGCUUCGGUUCAUCAGCUGAUGCAAUAUUACAAACUGGUUAACAUGUCUUGUGGUAUAGCAAUGGCAUUGAUUUUGUUGAAGUUACCUUCUUCGUAAUUUAUUAAAGUUUAUAAUAGUUAAUUGUAAUAAUGUUAAGAGUAACAUUGAGAAAUAAUUAAAUUGUUAAUGGUUAACCGUGAAGUUAAACGAUGGUGAAGGAGAAAGAUGAAAGUCUCAAACAAUUAAAGGUUAUCAAUAUCUUUCCCUUUUACCAUUCACUUUGUGUUAAGUGAAUGUUCAUAAGGUUAUUCUAAUUGUUGCUGAUGUUCCUGUUGAUCUCACUUUAAUAUUUAUUGAUUGUAAUAAGUAAGUGUUGAUAAUUUUCAAUGUUACAUGUAAUCAAUUCAAUGAGACUAGCUGUUAAUUACAAUGGCAAUAGCAUCCAAGCAAAAAUGGUUAAAGCAAGGCAAAUGGUAUCCGCGUCCAUUCAAUACACUAUAAAAAUUGUUAAUCAAUCAGUUGGAGGUAACCAGAAAAAAAAGACUUAAUCAUUAUCAAUGUCGGAACAACCCGAUGAUGAUGAUGGUGAUCAAAGUCAUUGAUAAUAAUUUUUUCAUAAAAUUAUUAAUGGUAAUGAUGAAAUACAAUUUACCUUCCCAUUACCAUGGACACUUUGCCUUCAUAUUUCCAAUGACAAUCUAUGUGUAUUAUAGCCAACAUUAUCCUUGCAAAAAUCAAGGUUCAUCAUAACUUCUUCCUCAUCACUUCAUAAUCAUCAUCAUCACUUUCAUCAGCAACAUUUUCACCAUCGUCUUCAUCAUCAUGUGGUUCUACAACAAUGAUUUACUUGGUUUUUGUACAUUCAAAUCAGGGUUAAAUUUUCAAUUGAUAUCAUCAAAUCUCUAUCAUCUUAGCCUUCGUACAUAUUAUAUUUCAAUUUAAUAUCCACGUUAAUUCAAGUGAUAAAUAGUCAAGUUAAUCAAUAUGCAAUCAUUUGUAAUGUAAAAGUUUAAAGCAUCGAAACAUUGAGAAGAUUGAAAUUCAUGGAUCAUAACUGUUUCAAUACUAAUCGAAGCUGUGCAUUGGGCUUAUUGGUUUAACCAUUUCUUAUGAAUCGUUAUGAUUAUUAUCAUCAUCUAUUUCACUUCAACUCACGUAUUAGAUACCAGAAAUUAAGCUUGCGUUGAACCACAUAGAAACAGUUCCAAAUCUAUGUUUAAACCUUAAAAUUAGGACAAAUUAACUUACAAAUAUUUACACACUUCUAUUAUUGUGUUGCUGUAUUACAAGGUUCAACUAAUUAUAUACAUGGGUAAUCAUAUUGGGUUCAUCUUUAUUGGAUUCAGUCUUGUUGGAUUAAAACUAAACUAUCUAGUGAGACCGAACACACAAUUUAAUUGAAACACCUAAAAUUUAGAGUUGCACAUUUAUACCUAUCAAAUGUUGGCAUUAACUGUAAUCUAAACAGGAAAGGGCUUGCCAGUAGAAAGAUCACAAUUAACAAUUGAUUAUAUCAAGUCACCAACGAUAAUUACAAAGUUAACAUAAAAGCUCAUGUAAUGUUAAUAGGAGUGAUAAUUUUCAGAGAUUCAUCCAAAUUAUCAUCUCCUUGACCUCGUUUUUAUAAGCUUAUUAACUCGAUUUCUUCAUCUUAACCAUUGUCCUAAUCAGCAUAAUGAAACUAAAUGGUAUAAUCGACAAUGAUGAAAGGUUAAUCUU
This is a non-coding RNA of Tetranychus urticae (two-spotted spider mite), 6040 nucleotides long. The record is from RefSeq and is a predicted model, not a curated record. Lineage: Eukaryota; Metazoa; Arthropoda; Arachnida; Trombidiformes; Tetranychidae.